UAGGGAAUCUUCGGCAAUGGACGAAAGUCUGACCGAGCAACGCCGCGUGAGUGAAGAAGGUUUUCGGAUCGUAAAACUCUGUUGUUAGAGAAGAACAAGGACGUUAGUAACUGAACGUCCCCUGACGGUAUCUAACCAGAAAGCCACGGCUAACUACGUGCCAGCAGCCGCGGAAAUACGUAGGUGGCAAGCGUUGUCCGGAUUUAUUGGGCGUAAAGCGAGCGCAGGCGGUUUCUUAAGUCUGAUGUGAAAGCCCCCGGCUCAACCGGGGAGGGUCAUUGGAAACUGGGAGACUUGAGUGCAGAAGAGGAGAGUGGAAUUCCAUGUGUAGCGGUGAAAUGCGUAGAUAUAUGGAGGAACACCAGUGGCGAAGGCGGCUCUCUGGUCUGUAACUGACGCUGAGGCUCGAAAGCGUGGGGAGCAAACAGG
Molecule: ribosomal RNA, 429 nt
Filed under: Gemmatimonadota bacterium
Lineage: Bacteria; Pseudomonadati; Gemmatimonadota
Description: Gemmatimonadetes bacterium partial 16S ribosomal RNA
Rfam family: Bacterial small subunit ribosomal RNA
Source: RNAcentral